CCUACGGGGGGCAGCAGUGGGGAAUAUUGCACAAUGGGGGAAACCCUGAUGCAGCGACGCCGCGUGAGUGAAGAAGUAUUUCGGUAUGUAAAGCUCUAUCUGCAGGGAAGAAAAUGACGGUACCUGAUUAAGAAGCCCCGGCUAACUACGUGCCAGCAGCCGCGGUAAUACGUAGGGGGCCAGCGUUAUCCGGAGUUACUGGGGGUAAAGGGAGCUUAGAGGGGAGAACAAGUCUGGAGUGAAAUGCCGGGGCCUAACCCCGGAACUGCUGUGGAAACUGGGCAGCUAGAGUGGAGGAGAGGUAUGCGGAAUUCCUGGUGUAGCGGUGAAAUGCGUAGAUAUUAGGAGGAACACCAAUUGCGAAGGCAGCUUACUGGAGCGUAACUGACGUUGAGGCACGAAAGCGUGGGGAGCAAACAGGAUUAGAUACCCGGGUAGUC
This 440-nucleotide ribosomal RNA is filed under the name uncultured bacterium. RNAcentral's name for it is "partial 16S ribosomal RNA". It matches the Rfam family "Bacterial small subunit ribosomal RNA", at positions 338 to 795 of the family's 1533-position model. The record is from RNAcentral.